CACGUAGGGGGCAAGCGUUGUCCGGAUUUAUUGGGCGUAAAGAGCUCGUAGGUGGUUCGGUAAGUCGGGUGUUAAACCCCCAGGCUCAACCUGGGGACGCCACUCGAUACUGCUGUGACUUGAGUCCGGUAGGGGAGCGUGGAAUUCCUGGUGUAGCGGUGAAAUGCGCAGAUAUCAGGAGGAACACUAGCGGCGAAGGCGGCGCUCUGGGCCGGUACUGACACUGAGGAGCGAAAGCGUGGGGAGCGAACAGG
This 254-nucleotide ribosomal RNA is filed under the name uncultured bacterium. RNAcentral describes it as "partial 16S ribosomal RNA". It matches the Rfam family "Bacterial small subunit ribosomal RNA", at positions 524 to 776 of the family's 1533-position model. The record is from RNAcentral.